CCUACGGGAGGCAGCAGUGAGGAAUAUUGGUCAAUGGACGAGAGUCUGAACCAGCCAAGUAGCGUGAAGGAUGACUGCCCUAUGGGUUGUAAACUUCUUUUAUAUGGGAAUAAAAUGUUCCACGUGUGGGAUUUUGUAUGUACCAUAUGAAUAAGGAUCGGCUAACUCCGUGCCAGCAGCCGCGGUAAUACGGAGGAUCCGAGCGUUAUCCGGAUUUAUUGGGUGUAAAGGGAGCGUAGGUGGAUUGUUAAGUCAGUUGUGAAAGUUUGCGGCUCAACCGUAAAAUUGCAGUUGAAACUGGCAGUCUUGAGUACAGUAGAGGUGGGCGGAAUUCGCGGUGUAGCGGUGAAAUGCUUAGAUAUCACGAAGAACUCCGAUUGCGAAGGCAGUUCACUGGACUGCAACUGACACUGAGGCUCGAAAGUGUGGGUAUCAAACAGGAUUAGAUACCCCAGUAGUC
RNAcentral lists this ribosomal RNA (460 nucleotides) under uncultured bacterium. Its description in RNAcentral is "partial 16S ribosomal RNA". It matches the Rfam family "Bacterial small subunit ribosomal RNA", at positions 338 to 795 of the family's 1533-position model. The record is from RNAcentral.